UUCCAUCUCAUCCCUCUCAACCCCUCAUCUCUUCUCAUCUCUAUUUGGAAACAUACAUCCCCUCACCUCUUUCCAUAUCUUUUCAAAACGUACACCCCCUUAUCUUUCCGUAUCUCGCGAUCAUUGCACACCCCUCCAACUACCCACAUCUGUUUCCAAAAUCCUAAUUACCCUCUCUCUAUCUUAAACUCUGUUUUUUCUUCUUCUUGUCAUCCCCUCUCUCUUUAUUAAUGGAGGAAUUGAUGCUCAUGUCAUUUUUGAUGGAAACUGAUUUUCCAACAAAGAUGAAAUACUCUAAUCAAUGAAUAAUUUGAGAUUUCAACAAUAUGAAAAUCAGGUUAUUUAUGAAGAACUAUUUUUGUGUAUUUUCUCUAAAAUUUAUCUGAACUAAUUAUUAACUACUCUUUCAUUAUUUUUAAUUUUUUUCACAUGUUAUAAUUAUCUUGCUUCCAGGACCAUAGUACUUUACUAAUGGAUAAAAGAUUUGUUAUAUUUGGUUUAGAUUUGUAGUUAUCUAAAUUGGAGUUAAAUUCUAAUCUAAUUGGGAUUGGAUAUAAUUUAGAUUUAAUUUGGCAUAUAUGAAUUAUAAUUAGGAGUGUAAUUCUAAUUGAAUUAGAAUUAGACUCUAGUUAGGAGACAUGUAUUAUAUAUACAUGCUACGGCCAAGUUAAUGACGCCGCGACCAAAUUUGAGAAGCCAUGCAAAUUAAUUAAGAGCAUAUUGGUA
RNAcentral lists this long non-coding RNA (726 nucleotides) under Ananas comosus (pineapple). Its description in RNAcentral is "long non-coding RNA (ACOM_LNC023073)". The record is from RNAcentral. Lineage: Eukaryota; Viridiplantae; Streptophyta; Magnoliopsida; Poales; Bromeliaceae.